UUUUUUUAAUUGUCUUUCGGGAUCUGUCUGUUUAAUUUGUUCCUUAUUAUGAUGGAGCAGGUUAACAGUGGGUUUCGUUAAGUUGCCUUAAAGUUAUGCAAAGAACUUGGUUACUUCGUCUUGCUUCUGCCUUCCCUUCUAAACUUUUUUUAAAUUAUCCCGUAUCUCUCAAUUUUUGUAUGUGUAUGGCCUUAAUUGGUGCCUUUUGCCUCAGGUGAAAACAACGUCCUUGGGUUCGUUUGGGUGGAAGAAAUUAAUUCCACUUAGAAGGGUUAUUCAUUCUGGAAGCAGUUCCUUUAUAUUGAGCUUUGAUUUUGUCCUUAAUUUUUCAAUUUCAAUUGUUUUUGUUUGCCAUAGUUGAGAAGAGCAUUCAUCAUCGUCUUUAAUUUGGAGGUUUUUUUUUUGACGUAGGUGAAAAGAGCAUCACUUUCCACUUGGGUUCAUUUGGUUUAUAGGGGAAGUGAUGAUUCCGCUUGUCAUUCACGCUUGAGUGACUCCUUUUUCAUUUUGAUCUUUUGAAGGAAAGAUUUUGUUUGACUUCUGAUAUCUGUUUAAUUUGUGGCCUAUGUUGCAGCAAGUUAAUAAUGGGUCUAGAUGGCUGCCUUGGAGUUUCUCAAACAAUCUGGUUACAUCCUGUCGUUGGGGGUUCACUCACUCGAGUGACUCCUCUUUAGUUUUGAUCGUUUUAAGACAGUUUUUGUUUGACUUUUGAUAUCUGUCUAAUUUGUGGCUUAUGUUUCUGCAAGUUAAUAAAUAAGCUGCCUUGGAAGUUUCGCAAAUGAUCUGGUUACAUCUUCUUGUUGGGUUCAUUUGGUUUACAGGAAGUGAUUCCACUUAGAAGUGUCAUUCACUGAUUCCAGGUGGAAGUGUCAUUCACUCGAGUGAAUCCUUUUUAGUUUUGAUAUUUUUAAAAGAUAGUUUGUUUCACUUUCAAUAUCUGUUUAAUUUGUGGCUUAUCUUGCAGCAAGAUAACAAUGGGUCUAGAUAAGUUGCCUUGAAGUUUUGCAAAUAAUGUGGUUACAUCGUCCAGCUCAUGCCUUUUUCUUGUACACACUUGAUGGUACUACUAUUCCGUCUUGCGGAGUGUGUCAUCCAUGAUGUAUGGCGUUUUGUUGAAGCUUUUUGGCUUAGGUGGAAAGAGUGUGGCUUUCCUUUGUGGGUUCGUUUGGGUGGAAAACAUUUUGAACCCGUGUUCAAGCAAUUCAGUGCCGAGCAAUGAACCACAGUACCAAAAGUCAGCUGCUGGUUAACAAUGCGCCUCUAGGGUUGCCUGAUUUUCGCAAAAAUAUGA
Long non-coding RNA from Neltuma alba, 1291 nucleotides. RefSeq lists it as uncharacterized. NCBI's taxonomy places the organism in Eukaryota, Viridiplantae, Streptophyta, Magnoliopsida, Fabales, Fabaceae. The transcript has 3 exons. The record is from RefSeq and is a predicted model, not a curated record.